Long non-coding RNA from Loxodonta africana (African savanna elephant), 468 nucleotides. RefSeq lists it as uncharacterized. Lineage: Eukaryota; Metazoa; Chordata; Mammalia; Proboscidea; Elephantidae. The transcript is spliced from 3 exons. The record is from RefSeq and is a predicted model, not a curated record.
CGCAUCUACCCUGCUAGGGCAAGUGUUCCAAAGCCCUGCAGCUCCAGAGAUAAGUGUCUGGAGGCAUCCCACUCCACCAGGAAACAUUGGCCAGAAGGCACUCAGCUUUCUUGCUCAAUGAGUAGAUGAGGAAGCUGAAGAAGAGGCUGGUUAAGUAACUGGUUUGAAGUCACAGAGUGGUACGUAGCAGAGGGAACGUGAAGUCCCAGCAGAAAGCCAGUGGAUGGGCCUGGAGAUGCGUGCGUGGCCCAGAAAACAAGAGAGGCAAGCAAAUACAGUAAGUUAAUUCCUGAUGUAGAAACACUUUUGAUAGUUUGGGUGCGUGAUCAGAUUGUGUUUAUCCAAUUGUUUUUAAGCCAAGAAACUUCUCUGAAAGUUAACUCGUUGGUAUAAAUUAAAUUUUCAAAAGGAAAUAUGCAAGCAUUGAUAUGAGUUACCGCUUUCUCGAGGCAGUGGUGGUACAGUGAU